Molecule: long non-coding RNA, 2375 nt
Organism: Apis mellifera (honey bee)
Lineage: Eukaryota; Metazoa; Arthropoda; Insecta; Hymenoptera; Apidae
Exons: 5
Source: RefSeq, a predicted model, not a curated record
CGAAUAAAAUAUAUUUUCUUUUAAAAUCAUAAUAAAUUAACGAUAAUAAGGUAUUAUUCUUUGAAUAAGGAGACCUCCCAUAUACUUUGGUAAGUACAUAUCCUUAAGGAUUUCAAGGAUCAUCUGUCUGAGAGAGAUUCGUGAUACGAUCUGGGACCCUACGCGAAAAGGAUACUUAGGGGGCGCGGAUCUUCGAAGGGGGAUCAUAAUCCGGCCUCCCACGAUGUUCCUAAAUUUAACGUUUCUUAUGAAUUACGACAGGACUCUGCACAAUUUUCGAACCCUAACCAAUCACGUUUCAUAAAACAUCGACCCACGCCACGUGCGCACGAGCAUAAUCGACACGAUCAAUUGAUUGGUACAGUACGGUUCAAGAGUUCAAGACCGUGUUUCUUUUUUUCAUCGUUUGGCUGGAAUUUUCUUUGGAAAUUUGAUGGAUUUAAACAAACGAAAAGUGUAAGAGAUAAAUCGAUUUGAUGAAAUCGCUUUGAAAGACAUUUUGAAAAACUUUAAAUCACGUAUCAAAAUCACGUUCACGGACAAUCGAUCCGAGAACAAGCUCAUGGUGCAUCUGCCCUUUCCUACCCUCGAAACAACAAGUAGAUCGUUAUCGUCUAUACCACUUUCACCAUCGAGGUGAAUGAAGAAAGCCGAAUGGAUAUAACGAGAUAUAAUCGUUCAUUAUCAAAAAAGAGAAGAGGGAAAAAAUUACAUUCAAAAGAAAUUUUAUUUGAAAAAUUCGAAUUCUUGUAAUUUAAUGAUUUGUUUAUUUCAAAAACGAGCUUUUCGAUGAAACACACGAAUUCAUUGUUUUCCCUAAUGUGAUAAUAUCAUGGCUCUUUUGCCAUGAUUUCUAAUGGAUAUGCCUACGCAUGUAAGCAUUGUUCUCCACUACAAGGGAAAAUACAUAAGUACAUAUAUCGCAAAGAUUUUGAUUGUCACCAAAGCGAUGAUGGAUGACUUCCCUUAUCGUACUUCUGUUAUACAAUAAAUAAGAUUGUUCGAAAAUGAUGGGAACUGUGACAAGAAUUAUGUCCUUCUAUUUAUUUCCCAAUGUUACGACGCAUUUAAGAAUUGUGAUUAAUGAGUACAAUCUAAUCGAUGAACAUAAAGGACUGGAUAAAAAAGGGACCGACCGAAGACCAUUAAGAGGAAAGAUCUAGCAUAUCGGGAGACUUGUUCUGUUAGUGAAUCAUGGAGAAAAAAAUGAGAGGAUCUACGAGAGAAGACGAUGUCCCGGAAGAUAGUAAUUACCUUUGGAAGAAAUUCUCUUUGGACCUUUGAUACAAAAAUAUAUGUUUCUGCUCAUGGAUUUGAUGAAUGAAUGAUGGAAAGAUCGACGAUCGAAUAUCCUCCAUUCUUUGAAUAAAAAUUAUAGAAUUAUUGAAUUCUUUAUAAAGGAUGAUCUAUUAAAGAAGAACGAUCAAAAAAUUUAAACCAUUGAGUCUUACAAAGAAACAUUCUAAAUGAAAGACACGGAUACGAGAUUUUGGGGCUCAUUGUGAAUCAUCCGCAGCAGCUCAAUGAAAUUCUUUCGUAUUUCGAAGGGACUUGGUUCAGGUAAAUGGACUAUUUGAAAGAUUGAAUCGACAAGCAAAAAAAGAGAAGAAUAGAGCAAAUAUUUUAACCUGCUUGGGAUUGAGUUUCUUUUUAAUCAAGUUUGUUUAAAGAAUCUCGACCAGAGGCUUAUCAAGCACGUUUUAUCGUCUGUUUAUAUUCCUGUAUAUUUGUUUAUAAAUAGAAUUUAUAUUUUCUAAUUAUAUUGAUCAUCGCUUUCAAAUACUAUUUUGUAUGAUUAUUAUUCUAUCUUACCAUUAUUAUAACAUUGCUAUCUGUUCAUAUUAAUUACCAGUCUCUAUAUCUCUCAUUAGAUUGAUAAAUUAUAAUCAUCAAUUAAAUCUGUUAUAAAAAAUAAAAGAAAAAAUGGUAAAAAUGAUAAAAGAUAGUAUAAAUUAUAACUUUGUCAAAAGAUUGUAAUUUUAGAUUAAACUUUAUGUAAAUGAACUAACCUUCAAAAUAAGUAGGGAUAAAAAUGAUCAUCAAAUCAAUAUAACUGAGAUAUGAUGUUCAAAUUCCAUUGAAAUAAACUGGAUAGCAUAUAAUUCACGAAGAUAUAAACACGUGGAUGGGAUUCACAGGAAAAUCUUUUAAAAAUUCGAUAUUACGUAAUUCAAAAACAAUUAUAAUGCUACUGAAAACAGUACGUUGAUUCAUUAGAAAAAAAUCUUAAGCUAUUUUAGAAUACGACGACAUUAUGCUAUGAAUAAAAUCUGUUUGAUCAAUGGUCAGAAAAACGGUUAUACCAUAGAGUAGCCCAGUUAUGAUAUGUAUGGAAAUUAUAUUUGAAAUAUGUUUAAAGAUAAAAAUUAAUAAUG